GACGAACGCUGGCGGCGUGCUUAACACAUGCAAGUCGAACGGAAAGGCCCUGCUUUUGUGGGGGGCUCGAGUGGCGAACGGGUGAGUAACACGUGAGUAACCUGCCCUUGACUUUGGGAUAACUUCAGGAAACUGGGGCUAAUACCGGAUAGGAGCUCCUGCUGCAUGGUGGGGGUUGGAAAGUUUCGGCGGUUGGGGAUGGACUCGCGGCUUAUCAGCUUGUUGGUGGGGUAGUGGCUUACCAAGGCUUUGACGGGUAGCCGGCCUGAGAGGGUGACCGGCCACAUUGGGACUGAGAUACGGCCCAGACUCCUACGGGAGGCAGCAGUGGGGAAUAUUGCACAAUGGGCGGAAGCCUGAUGCAGCAACGCCGCGUGCGGGAUGACGGCCUUCGGGUUGUAAACCGCCUUCGCCUGUGACGAAGCGUGAGUGACGGUAAUGGGUAAAGAAGCACCGGCUAACUACGUG
This 468-nucleotide ribosomal RNA is filed under the name uncultured bacterium. Its description in RNAcentral is "partial 16S ribosomal RNA". It matches the Rfam family "Bacterial small subunit ribosomal RNA", at positions 28 to 507 of the family's 1533-position model. The record is from RNAcentral.